UGUUUCCUACGGGGGGCAGCAGUGAGGAAUAUUGGUCAAUGGGCGGGAGCCUGAACCAGCCAAGUCGCGUGAAGGAAGAAGGUACUUAGUAUUGUAAACUUCUUUUGUCGGGGAACAAAGGCGGAGACGCGUCUCCGGAUGAGUGUACCCGAAGAAAAAGCAUCGGCUAACUCCGUGCCAGCAGCCGCGGUAAUACGGAGGAUGCGAGCGUUAUCCGGAUUUAUUGGGUUUAAAGGGUGCGUAGGCGGGCUGUUAAGUCAGCGGUCAAAUGUCGGG
Molecule: ribosomal RNA, 276 nt
Filed under: uncultured bacterium
Lineage: Bacteria
Description: partial 16S ribosomal RNA
Rfam family: Bacterial small subunit ribosomal RNA
Source: RNAcentral